Molecule: long non-coding RNA, 819 nt
Organism: Nerophis ophidion (straightnose pipefish)
Lineage: Eukaryota; Metazoa; Chordata; Actinopteri; Syngnathiformes; Syngnathidae
Exons: 3
Source: RefSeq, a predicted model, not a curated record
AGUGGACACAAAGGGAAUCAAACUGGCGUGUUGGAAGGACUAUGGACUCUUGUUGGAUAUUUCUUUUGCAAUUUAUGGAUUCAAAGAAAUGCGUAAAUCGCAAAAAUUAUGAAUUCACAAAGGGAUCCUGAUCCACCAGGAUAUCCUGGGUUCUUACGCAACACUGGCCCAGCCCUGCUGGUGAUGGGAAACAACCCUGCAUUGCAGCACACAAAAUGGCAACAAUGAGGCUGCAGCUGCUGUGCCCGAUUAUUAAAAUGGUUGUAUUGUAUAUAUUUAAUAUUAUAAGACAGUUUAGUCCUUUUGGAGAUCCACUUUGAAAUGUUUAAAACACUACUUUCAUAUAGGUUUAAGCAAGAAAGUCCCACGAUUCAUCCAUUUUUCUCCACUUAGGCGUGUCAAGGGAUCCUCAGAUGUGCCCUGUCUGCAGAUACCCCCUUCCAGCUCCUUCGGGGGGUCCUGCAGGCAUUUCCAGGCCAGCUGUGAGACAUGUACUCCCUACAGCUAGACUGAGGUCUGCCCUGAGGCCUUCAAUGUGCGUACGAGGAACCAAUCAGAAAUAGAGGCCCAGGCCAGCAUGAUUACCAACUGCGGACCAAUAUGUAAAGCUUGAGGGGAAGCUUUGUAUCCCUUUCUUCCAGGACUUCAACGAGAGAAUUAAAUGUUCUUUUGUCCUACCAAACUUGAGAUUGUCUUUGAAUUUCACCUUGACUUUUUUUAAUGCCUCUGAUUAGUUGAUUUUUGUGUUUGUAGCUUGUUUUUAUUUCUGUAUUGUCAUUGUCAAGGCUUCUGAAAAUAAAGCACGUUUGUAGUAAUUAA